This is a long non-coding RNA of Amphiprion ocellaris (clown anemonefish), 1102 nucleotides long. NCBI's taxonomy places the organism in Eukaryota, Metazoa, Chordata, Actinopteri, Pomacentridae. The record is from Ensembl.
UUUUGGUUGAUUUUUUGUGAAUGUUCUUAAAGAAAAUAUUAGAAGUUUUACUGAUUGAUCUGUAGUCACUUUAGAUAUUUUUAGGAUUUUUUGGGGAAGAUUUUUACUCAUUUUUUGAAAAUAUUUACAAGAAUCUAGCCAAAUUUGGGGGAAUUUUUAAAAUCAAACCUUUAAGGGAAUCUUUUAAGGAAUUAUUGGAAUUUUCUUCCUGAAGGUUUUGAAAUUUUUCAGAAAUUUGGGGGAUUUUUUUUUGCUCAUUUUUUGGAUUGUUUUCAGACAAGGAAACAAUAUUUUUUGGUGCCCGUAAAUGAGGACAACAGGAGGGUUAAUGGAUGAUUGAGCUGCAUUUAUAAAAAAACGUGGAGCUGUGUGACGUUUGAUCCAGAAAACCCGUUCAGUUUGCUGCUAGAUUUAUCAAGCAGCAAAAUCAGUCAGACAGUUCAGAGAAGUAACAAAUAUUUACAGUACCGUUCAAAAGUUUGGGGUCAUCCAGACAAGUUCAUGUUUUCCAUGAAAACUCACACAUUUAUUCAUGUGCUAACAUAAUUGCACAAGGGUUUUCUAAUCAUCAAUUAGCCUUUCAACACCAUGAGCUAACACAAAAUCAGCCGUUUCCAGCUAGAAUAGUCAUUUACCACAUUAACGAUGUCUACACUGGAUUUCUGAUUAAUGUUACCUUCAGUGAAAAAAACUGCUUUUCUUUCAAAAUAAAGACAUUUCUAAGUGACCCCAGACUUUUGAACAGUAGUGUACAUAUUUUGUAAUUUCAACAGCAAGCCGUUUUUCUUUAAAUCAGCAGAUGAUUCACAAAAUCCACAGUAAAUACUAUUUUACUGCAUUUUCACAGGAGCAGAGAAUCUGAUCCAAACUUUCUGAACAUGUGAACAUGUAGCAACAAGCGUCUGUUCUAGUAGAGAAACUCAAAAUCAGUGAAAUAUGUUAACAUGAGACUAAAGCUGUACAUAUUUGAAGCAUGUUGAUAAUAGACUGUACAUACUUUCUGUAGAAGACUGUAAAAAAGCCAAGAUGUUGGAGAAUUUUAAUAUGUUUAUAUUAUUAUGGACUACUGUGGUAAGAUUUAAUAAAGAUGAUAUAUGAUGUG